GGGGAUGUAGCUCAACUGGUAGAGCACCUGCUUUGCAAGCAGGGGGUUACGGGUUCGAGUCCCGUCUUCUCCA
RNAcentral lists this transfer RNA (73 nucleotides) under bacterium. Its description in RNAcentral is "tRNA-Ala". It matches the Rfam family "tRNA". From Rfam's summary of the family: Transfer RNA (tRNA) molecules are approximately 80 nucleotides in length. Their secondary structure includes four short double-helical elements and three loops (D, anti-codon, and T loops). The record is from RNAcentral.